Long non-coding RNA from Thalassophryne amazonica, 151 nucleotides. RefSeq lists it as uncharacterized. The record is from RefSeq and is a predicted model, not a curated record. NCBI's taxonomy places the organism in Eukaryota, Metazoa, Chordata, Actinopteri, Batrachoidiformes, Batrachoididae. The transcript is spliced from 3 exons.
UUGGAGAACCGGCGCCUGCUCUAUGUGUUUCUCCAGGUGAACCUGGAGUUGUGUCACGAAGGGCUUCUGGCGUAAAACUUGUGCCAAAUACCAGUGCGGAUCUGGCUGCAUCCGCUGUGGCGACCCCAAACAAACGGGAGCAGCUGAAAUG